CUUUUCCCAUGGACUUGACGGAUCCGGAACCUCGAGGACCCAGGAGUCUGAGAAACAAAUCAGAAAUCGGGAGAAGCCUGUCUGAGUGCCCCAACCAACGCCGUAGCAACAGCGGGGUCUCUGCUUGAAGGACGCUUCGGACCACCAAUCCGAGUGGCCACUGUCUUUUAAAACUAAAUUGAGCCAAACCAAUCGUGGCCGUGGAACUCGGGGCGCAGUGGAACCAAUGGGGUGACGAGGUGGCAGCAGGCAGGCGGGGCUAGGAGCGCCAGGAGACCUUUGGUGACGUGAGCGACAGUGCGCGCCGGGGCGAAAAGCUCCCGAACUGGGGAAUUAGCUCUAGUAGCAGAGCGCUCGCUUAGCAUGUUAGAGGGGGUGGGAUCAAUGCCGGCUUUCUCCGCGGCCGCAUUUUACUAGGGGGUCACCUCCCGCGGUCACUGUAUCCGAGCAGGUGGCAACCCCGGAAGUGGGCUCUAGAUGUGGAGUUGCUGAAUGCCUCUAGCUGGGCCCCCCACCUUCACGAGGGAGGGGAGACACACAGAACGGGGCGGGGGGGGGUCCCUUUUAUUUGGAGGAAGGAUUGACACUCUAGUCAUCUUCCAGGUUGAUGAUCUGGCCCGUUUCCCCGCCAGGUUCCCUUUUCAGGUGAGGACCAGGUCCUGGACCUCAGGAUCCCUGCCCCCGAACUGCCUGGGGCAAGGAGGAUUGCUCACUUUGUACCACUGCAAGUAACCUGCCCUGUUCCUGUGGACUCUCCGCAUCCCCCGAAACCCAACUGGCAAAAGCUGGAAGAACCUGGGCAAUUGAGUUAGGUGCGCUGGAGCUGCCUGCCAGGGACAGCACUGUCACUCACACCAGAGAGCCCUAGAGGGCGGCUCCCAGGUCCCAUGAAACUGCCCCCAACACACACCGCCUAAGAAACAGCAGGUGACAAGAAGGUGAACAAUCUGGGGGCCUGGCAGAGAGACCCCGUAGUGGGACUUUGUGUGCAGGAAGUGGGAGAUGGAGUGGCAGAAGUGACUGCUGAGUCUUACAGGGCCUGGAAGGACCAUGCCACAAUGCCAGUCCUCAAGGCUCACACCUCAGACAGGGGUUCCUUGGUGUGGGGUUGGUCAGGGACGACCAUUCCAGCACUAGAGGACUGUCUGAGGAAGUCCAUGACCCCUGGGUAAUGUGGCAGAGCUUGGCUGCUGGGGGACGGGAAGGGCAGAACCUCCAGGAGUUGAGCACCUGCUGCCUUUACCAAGAUCAGCAUCUCUCUGCACCCUCGCCCCUGUCCACAAGCCCCAGCUGGCCUGGGCUCCUUCCACCUCACUGACUCAGGCUUUCUGAGCUCUAACAUCAAAUGGCAGGGGAACUGCCCAGCUUGGGUUGGAUCAAUCCCAGGGCCUAGGGACUGCUGACAUGCCCCACCCUCACCAAUCCACUCUUAAGCAGAGCCUGUGGCUGGAGGCAGACUAUCUAGAAAGAGUUCAUUUGGGGAGCUCCAAACAGUAUUAUCC
This 1502-nucleotide long non-coding RNA is filed under the name Marmota monax (woodchuck). The record is from RNAcentral. Lineage: Eukaryota; Metazoa; Chordata; Mammalia; Rodentia; Sciuridae.